UCCCGGAGCGCGCCUGCGCACUCGGCGCGAACAUGGCCGCCGCCGGCCGCCCGCGGUGAGUGGGUCUUCGCCCCCGGCUCAUCAGUCUCUCGGGUUCCUCCAAGAGGGCGACGUGGGAGUGAAGGGUGCGGAGUCCUGUCUGGGACAUGAAACUGAAAAUGAUAACUCAGAAUAUUCCUGAUGAAGAAAUAUCCUGUGAUGUAGAAAUGGAAGGAUUUAGGACAGAGAGUCCCUGUUUCUCCACUGUAAGUGACAGUUGGGAUUAUGAGAACCAAGAAGAACAUUUGAGGCAGUCAGCUUUAACCCAGGAGAAACCAGGGGCUCAGGAAACAAGUUGUGAAUGUCCUGGUUUUAGGGAGAAUGUGAAUGUAGACUCAGACCUUUCAACACCUCGGAGAGUUCCUAUAACAAAUGGCUUUCAUAUACAUGACUCAGAUGUUCAAAGUUUGGAUUGUGAUCUAACCCUACACAGUUGUCCCCAAAGUUAUACGGCUAAGAGAGCCAGCAACAGUGAUGCCUGCGGAAAAUCCUCCAACCAUUCCAUGGAAGUUAUACAACUUGGAAGAAAUCAAAUGAGAGAUAAAUCCUAUAAAUACCCCCAAAAUGUUAAAUCUUUCAAUCAUUUUACCUUCCUUGGUGAUCAGAAAAUAACAAAAAGAACCAAGAAACUGUAUCAAGGCAAGGACUUUGAGGACAUCUUUACCCUGGGUUCAUCUCUUGAUGAAAGUAGGAGGAGUUACCCUGGAGAGAAGCCAUAUAAAUGUACUGAAUGUGGCAAAUGCUUCAAACGGAAUUCCUCUCUUGUUUUGCAUCACCGGACUCACACUGGAGAGAAGCCUUAUACCUGUAGUGAGUGUGGAAAAUCCUUCUCUAAGAACUACAACCUGAUUGUGCAUCAAAGGAUCCACACAGGAGAGAAGCCGUACAAAUGCAGUAAAUGUGGGAAAGCUUUCAGUGACGGGUCAGCUCUGACACAACACCAGAGGAUUCACACGGGUGAGAAGCCUUAUGAAUGUGUAGAGUGUGGAAAAACCUUCAACCGCAAUUCUUCCUUGAUUUUGCAUCAAAGGACUCAUACAGGGGAAAAGCCAUACAGAUGCAAUGAGUGUGGGAAACCCUUCACUGACAUCUCCCACCUCACUGUGCAUCUCAGAAUCCACACUGGUGAGAAGCCCUAUGAGUGUAGCAAAUGUGGGAAGGCUUUCCGAGAUGGUUCAUACCUUACCCAGCAUGAGAGGACCCACACUGGAGAGAAACCAUUUGAAUGUGUGGAAUGUGGAAAAUCCUUUAAUCGCAAUUCUCACCUCAUUGUGCAUCAAAAAAUCCAUUCUGGAGAGAAACCCUAUGAAUGUAAAGAAUGUGGGAAAACUUUCAUUGAGAGUGCAUACCUCAUCAGGCACCAGAGGAUUCAUACUGGCGAGAAGCCCUAUGGCUGUAACCAGUGUCAGAAACUUUUCAGGAAUAUUGCUGGCCUCAUCCGGCACCAGAGGACUCAUACUGGUGAGAAGCCCUAUGAAUGUAAUCAGUGUGGCAAAGCUUUCAGGGACAGCUCCUGUCUGACCAAGCACCAGAGAAUUCACACUAAGGAGACUCCAUACCAUUGUCCAGAAUGUGGGAAGUCCUUCAAGCAGAACUCUCACCUGGCUGUACAUCAGAGACUCCAUAACAGGGAGGGUCCCAGCCAGUGUCCUCAGUGUGGGAAGACAUUUAGGAGGAGCUCAUCCCUUGUCCGACAUCAAAGAACACACCCUAAGGAGCAACUUGUGGAAACGUAAUUAAUCUGGGCCACCUUAUUCUCCCAGUUUUGCAGAAAAUUCUCAGAAACCUUCAUGAAAUAGAAACUGAUUUCUCAAAUGAGUAAUGAAAAUAAUUAAGUUACAGAGGAUGGACACUCCUGACCUAAGAGGAGAUACUGAUAUGUGGACUGGGAAAUUGGGAGAAGUCCUCUGCGGUGUUGCUGAGCUUACUGGAGAGAAACCUUGGAAAUACAGCAACAACAGAUAUGGUAUGUUAAAACGUUCAGAGAUUUAAUUUUUGCUAAACAAGACUGCGACACAUCACGAUGAAAGGUUUGGAAUAUUGGUGUCAGGGCUGAUAGAAGGGGUAAGGUGGCUGAGGGAGACUUUUCUUUUUGAUGUCAUAUCGCGUGCAAAUGUGUAUUCAAAAGUUAUUUUAAAAAAUCCGUGUAAGGAAUGUAGAAGUCAUUUAAACUGGACUCUUGUCUUUGCAUCAGAAGAUUCAGAUCAGGUGGUGGCAAGUUUAGGUUUUCAGUAGUAAGUCUUGCUGAAACUCUUAGAUAAAAAUAAUACAAAUUAGAACUAACCAAUCUAGAGUGUUUUUUUCUUUCAAGAUUUAUUUUAUUUAUUUGAAAGAGUUACAUAGAGAGGUAGAGACAGAGAGAGAGGUUUUCCAUCCGAUGGUUCACUCCCCAGUUGACCGCAACGGCUGGAGCCGCGCCAAUCCAAAGCCAGGAGGCAGGAGCUUCUUCCGGGUCACCCAUGUGGGUGCAGGGGCACGAGGACUUGUGCCAUCUUCUACUGCUUUCCCAGGCUGCAGCGGAGAGCUGGAUCAAAAGAGGAACAGCUGGGACUAGAACCGGCACCCAUAUAGGGUGCUGGUGCUUCAGGCUAGGGCUUUAACCUGCUGUGUCACAGCGCCAGUCCCUAUAGAGUGUUAAUAUAGGAAAAAACCCUCAAGAUAGUACCCCCUUCUAGGGCAGUAAGAAAAGUCAAACAAGACAGAAAAAACAUACUAUAUUCCAUAUAGGAAAGCUGUAGUCAGAUUUAAUCUUCCAGAGUGACUGAUAGAAAUAUAAUGUGACAGAGUGGGAACUUGGCACAGCAGUUGACUCCUGCAUCCCACAUCGUAGUGCCUUGGUGCAAGUCAGCUCCAUUCCGAUUCCAGCCUCCUGCACACUCUGGGAAGCAGUGAGUAAUGGCUCAAUAGUUGAGUCCCUGCAAUCCACAUGACAUACCCUGACUGAAUUCUCAGACAGGCUAAUCCCCAGUUGUUGUGCGCUUUGGUGGGUGAACCCGCAGAUGAAAAGAAAAACAAUGUGAGCCACGUUAUCUUGAAUUUGUUUCAAAGAUGUAUUUAUUUGAGCCGGCGCCGUGGCUCAACAGGCUAAUCCUCCGCCUAGUGGCGCCGGCA
Oryctolagus cuniculus (rabbit) is the source of this 3150-nucleotide non-coding RNA. The record is from RefSeq and is a predicted model, not a curated record. NCBI's taxonomy places the organism in Eukaryota, Metazoa, Chordata, Mammalia, Lagomorpha, Leporidae.